Symphalangus syndactylus (siamang) is the source of this 762-nucleotide long non-coding RNA. RefSeq lists it as uncharacterized. NCBI's taxonomy places the organism in Eukaryota, Metazoa, Chordata, Mammalia, Primates, Hylobatidae. The record is from RefSeq and is a predicted model, not a curated record.
GUCCAGGUUUUAAUCAGCAUGCCAAUCCUACCUGCACUGCAGCCUCACCCAGCAAAUGCUUAAGCCUGGACCGCUUCCCCCACUGUUACCUCUGUGAACGUGCUGCCAUUCAUCCUAUCUGAUGUGCUGUAACCUCUCAGCUGAUGAACCUGCCCACUCCCAUAUAUUUGCCACCAGGCUAAGUAGACAUCUGAGAAGGGAUAAAUUCCCUCUGGAUAUGUGUAAGUUCCCUGCCCAUGACAUAAAUUUUCUUCAGAUGGGACUACGGAGGCAGGGGAAUGAGAGUUGAGGUUGAUCUAAUCAAUUCAGCCUAAAUUACAGGUUCUUCUCACUAUAUAUCAGCAAGUUUUAUCAAUGGAUAAAAAUAGAUACUGCUACAAUGGGUAUACACGAUGUUAUGAUGAUGCACAUCAGAAGGAGUUUUGGCAUAAGUGAAGCAAGACAGAAGAUCAACUGCAGGAGAGUAAUGGGUAAGACCCAUAGCACAUAAUCAAGCAGACACCGAAGAAAUAUCAAAUAUUUACUGCAAAGUGUGAGAACAUUGUCGCAUGGGUAUUUAAGAAAACACAAGCAUAGCCAGGACAAGAAGCAACUCAGCUCAAAAGUAACCCAGUGCUGAAGGACAACCAGGUGAAUAGGGCUGGAGCUACAGCGACUGAAUAGACACUGGGAGACUGUGCUGUAUGCUAGCAACCUUUGCUUUGCUCUCUUUUUUAGUGUUCAACUCUGUAUCUUCAGCACAAUAAAAAACUGAGAACAAUG